This is a long non-coding RNA of Scatophagus argus, 1329 nucleotides long. RefSeq lists it as uncharacterized. NCBI's taxonomy places the organism in Eukaryota, Metazoa, Chordata, Actinopteri, Scatophagidae. The transcript is spliced from 4 exons. The record is from RefSeq and is a predicted model, not a curated record.
AGUUCAGUGUGGUAAUUCACGUCCUCUUCACAACAGCGCUGAUAAAAAACAGAUGUAGUAACCAGAGGAGGCCACCAGGGGGAGCAGAGUGUGUGAGCUGUGAAGGAGGCGCGUCACUCCCCGCCCUCAGUGAAUACACGCAUGAGCGGAGGGAAGUUUGUGUGUGUGCGUCUUUCACACAAUAUUCCCCUUUUUAGUGUCAGUGGUUAUUAUACGAAGUGAUCCCUCAGAACAGUUUGAUUGGUUGUUUCUGCGGUUGCCAAUCACGGCCACUAGAGGGCAGUCGCAGCGUGGACAUUGGAAAGUUCUGGAGAGAAACGCGUUUCAGACCGUCGUCUCACUUGUGUCAAGUGUUCCUGUUGUUUCGGGCGUUUCGGUGUGAUUUUCCCUCCGUGUGUGCGUUCAGAUCUCAAACCACACACAUAUACACAACGUGCAUUUAUUUGUAUCUCAAUAAAUCUUGAAAAGGGACCAUGUGGUGAUGCCGUCUAAUGGAUGUCCCCUGGGGGCCACAGCUUUACUCAGAACUCCACAUCAGUUAAUGUUUACUAGAACAUUUGGGUGUCCUGAUCCUGAUCAAAUCGUGACCUUAUCAGCUCCAGUGAAGAACUCCACAUGCAGCAGAUUCCUGCCCCUGCAGAGCGAUGCAGCAUCCAGCCUGGAUGGAUAACUGUGCCGUGUCCCUCCCAGCACGACCACAGUUUGCGUUUGUCCCUCAGGAAGCAGCUUACCCGCCAGAGAAACAGUGACCCUCCUGCAGCAUGGAGGGACCUUCUGGGAGAUACGCCAAGAUGACACCUCUCAUACCUUCGCCAGCUGACAAGACUGGGGUGCUGUGCUGGGAGCAGGUGCAAAGCAUCUCCACUUGUCUGAACCUGUUAGCCCCAGUUCCAAAGCAAACCCGCUUGGCCCUGGCGUAAGCCAGCUCUAGAAACCGUACCAGAUGAAUGAACCUGCAGACGUGACUUGUUGCUGCCCCUCCAGAUCCACCACUGCAACCGGAGUCUGACCUCCCUCCUGAACAGGUGUGAGAGCCCACCUGCUGCUGCGCUCCAUAACACAGGAAGAGGACAUGUACUGGACCGGAUGAGGACAGUGCCUGUCUGCUGCUCCACCUCCUGAAGCAGAUGACACAUACUGGACACCACCUCCAGCGCCAAACUUGAUAACCGAGUGCUUUUAUUAUGACAAUGAAUCAAAGAAGUCAUGCAGAGAUAUUUCAUGAUUAAAGUCCAAAAUGAAAUUGUACAUGAACGGCAAAAAUAAAAACCCAAAUCAAACCACAGCCAAGUUUAACUCAAACAAUAAAUAAAGUCCUGAUUUUAGAAA